This is a long non-coding RNA of Notolabrus celidotus (New Zealand spotty), 658 nucleotides long. RefSeq lists it as uncharacterized. NCBI's taxonomy places the organism in Eukaryota, Metazoa, Chordata, Actinopteri, Labriformes, Labridae. The transcript has 5 exons. The record is from RefSeq and is a predicted model, not a curated record.
UGUCUGUCGGCAAUCCCUCACGCAGUUUUCUACUUCCGGGCUUCGUGCUGUUGCCAGGAAACCGUUGGAGAAUACAGGAAGUGACUUUCCGUUCAAGAUAUAUAAAGGGUUUCUUCUAGUUCCAGAUGUGUGACAUAUCCUGUAUUACACUGUCUAUGGACAUGCCACUCUGCAUGGGUUCUCCAGGUGGGAGUGGAACAGGUUGCUACGAGUCAGAGGAACCCCCAGAACCGACUCGAUGAUGUAGCCGAUGGUGCAGUCGUCAGGCAGACGGAUUUUCUCCGCUGUGUUCAUGAAGUGACCGCCACUGGAACCACAAACAGAAGAGACAAAGCCAGGAGGCAUAUCAUGCAGCCUAACCCAGAGGGGAUGAGUCCUAGCCCAAACAGAGUUCUCCUCCUGGCUCUGCCAUCCCUGUCUUCUGUCUAACAUCUCGCUGCAACAUGAAGAGCCAUGUGAGAACCUCUUUUGCUGACACGAAAUCUGCUCAUCGUGGGAAUGUUUCAUUACCUUUGAAAUUAAAUCAAAGUGCUUUGGUGUGUCUUUGCCUACAGGUCAUUGAAUGUUUGGCAACAACAUUGUUCUGUAUAGUAUGGUGGCCCUGAAGGAUAAAACAAAUUUACAAAAGAUCAAACACUUUUACAAAGUUGGAGACAAA